RNAcentral lists this ribosomal RNA (852 nucleotides) under Ralstonia sp. LR35. RNAcentral describes it as "bacterial SSU rRNA". It matches the Rfam family "Bacterial small subunit ribosomal RNA", at positions 24 to 866 of the family's 1533-position model. The record is from RNAcentral. Lineage: Bacteria; Pseudomonadati; Pseudomonadota; Betaproteobacteria; Burkholderiales; Burkholderiaceae.
UCAGAUUGAACGCUGGCGGCAUGCCUUACACAUGCAAGUCGAACGGCAGCAUGAUCUAGCUUGCUAGAUUGAUGGCGAGUGGCGAACGGGUGAGUAAUACAUCGGAACGUGCCCUGUAGUGGGGGAUAACUAGUCGAAAGAUUAGCUAAUACCGCAUACGACCUGAGGGUGAAAGUGGGGGACCGCAAGGCCUCAUGCUAUAGGAGCGGCCGAUGUCUGAUUAGCUAGUUGGUGGGGUAAAGGCCCACCAAGGCGACGAUCAGUAGCUGGUCUGAGAGGACGAUCAGCCACACUGGGACUGAGACACGGCCCAGACUCCUACGGGAGGCAGCAGUGGGGAAUUUUGGACAAUGGGGGCAACCCUGAUCCAGCAAUGCCGCGUGUGUGAAGAAGGCCUUCGGGUUGUAAAGCACUUUUGUCCGGAAAGAAAUCGCACUUACUAAUAUUAGGUGUGGAUGACGGUACCGGAAGAAUAAGGACCGGCUAACUACGUGCCAGCAGCCGCGGUAAUACGUAGGGUCCAAGCGUUAAUCGGAAUUACUGGGCGUAAAGCGUGCGCAGGCGGUUGUGCAAGACCGAUGUGAAAUCCCCGGGCUUAACCUGGGAAUUGCAUUGGUGACUGCACGGCUAGAGUGUGUCAGAGGGGGGUAGAAUUCCACGUGUAGCAGUGAAAUGCGUAGAGAUGUGGAGGAAUACCGAUGGCGAAGGCAGCCCCCUGGGAUAACACUGACGCUCAUGCACGAAAGCGUGGGGAGCAAACAGGAUUAGAUACCCUGGUAGUCCACGCCCUAAACGAUGUCAACUAGUUGUUGGGGAUUCAUUUCCUUAGUAACGUAGCUAACGCGUGAAGUU